AGAGUUUGAUCCUGGCUCAGGACGAACGCUGGCGGCACGCUUAACACAUGCAAGUCGAACGAGAGAAGAGGAGCUUGCUUUUCUGAUCUAGUGGCGGACGGGUGAGUAACACGUGAGCAAUCUGCCUUUCAGAGGGGGAUACCGAUUGGAAACGAUCGUUAAUACCGCAUAACAUAAUUGAACCGCAUGAUUUGAUUAUCAAAGAUUUAUCGCUGAAAGAUGAGCUCGCGUCUGAUUAGCUGGUUGGUAAGGUAACGGCUUACCAAGGCGACGAUCAGUAGCCGGACUGAGAGGUUGAUCGGCCACAUUGGGACUGAGACACGGCCCAGACUCCUACGGGAGGCAGCAGUGGGGAAUAUUGCACAAUGGAGGAAACUCUGAUGCAGCGAUGCCGCGUGAGGGAAGAAGGUUUUAGGAUUGUAAACCUCUGUCUUCAGGGACGAAAAAAGACGGUACCUGAGGAGGAAGCUCCGGCUAACUACGUGCCAGCAGCCGCGGUAAUACGUAGGGAGCGAGCGUUGUCCGGAAUUACUGGGUGUAAAGGGAGCGUAGGCGGGAUCGCAAGUCAGAUGUGAAAACUAUGGGCUUAACCCAUAAACUGCAUUUGAAACUGUGGUUCUUGAGUGAAGUAGAGGUAAGCGGAAUUCCUAGUGUAGCGGUGAAAUGCGUAGAUAUUAGGAGGAACACAAUGGCGAAGGCGGCUUACUGGGCUUUAACUGACGCUGAGGCUCGAAAGCGUGGGGAGCAAACAGGAUUAGAUACCCUGGUAGUCCACGCCGUAAACGAUGAUUACUAGGUGUGGGGGGACUGACCCCUUCCGUGCCGCAGCAAACGCAAUAAGUAAUCCACCUGGGGAGUACGACCGCAAGGUUGAAACUCAAAGGAAUUGACGGGGGCCCGCACAAGCAGUGGAGUAUGUGGAUUAAUUCGAAGCAACGCGAAGAACCUUACCAGGUCUUGACAUCGUAUGCAUAGCUCAGAGAUGAGUGAAAUCUCUUCGGAGACAUAUAGACAGGUGGUGCAUGGUUGUCGUCAGCUCGUGUCGUGAGAUGUUGGGUUAAGUCCCGCAACGAGCGCAACCCUUACUGUUAGUUGCUACGCAAGAGCACUCUAGCAGGACUGCCGUUGACAAAACGGAGGAAGGUGGGGAUGACGUCAAAUCAUCAUGCCCCUUAUGACCUGGGCCUCACACGUACUACAAUGGCUGUCAACAGAGGGAAGCAAAGCCGCGAGGUGGAGCGAACCCCUAAAAGCAGUCUUAGUUCGGAUUGUAGGCUGCAACCCGCCUACAUGAAGUCGGAAUUGCUAGUAAUCGCAGAUCAGCAUGCUGCGGUGAAUACGUUCCCGGGCCUUGUACACACCGCCCGUCACGCCAUGGGAGUCGGUAACACCCGAAGCCUGUAGUCUAACCGCAAGGAGGACGCAGUCGAAGGUGGGAUUGAUGACUGGGGUGAAGUCGUAACAAGGUA
Molecule: ribosomal RNA, 1469 nt
Filed under: metagenome
Description: bacterial SSU rRNA
Rfam family: Bacterial small subunit ribosomal RNA
Source: RNAcentral